Molecule: ribosomal RNA, 417 nt
Filed under: uncultured bacterium
Lineage: Bacteria
Description: bacterial SSU rRNA
Rfam family: Bacterial small subunit ribosomal RNA
Source: RNAcentral
GCAUAACGCGAAGAACCUUACCCACCUUUGACAUGUACGGAAUCCUUUAGAGAUAGAGGAGUGCUCGAAAGAGAGCCGUAACACAGGUGCUGCAUGGCUGUCGUCAGCUCGUGUCGUGAGAUGUUGGGUUAAGUCCCGCAACGAGCGCAACCCUUGCCAUUAGUUGCUACAUUUAGUUGAGCACUCUAAUGGGACUGCCGGUGACAAACCGGAGGAAGGUGGGAUGACGUCAAGUCCUCAUGGCCCUUAUAGGUGGGGCUACACACGUCAUACAAUGGCUGGUACAAAGGGUUGCCAACCCGCGAGGGGGAGCUAAUCCCAUAAAGCCAGUCGUAGUCCGGAUCGCAGUCUGCAACUCGACUGCGUGAAGUCGGAAUCGCUAGUAAUCGUGGAUCAGAAUGUCACGGUGAAUACGUU